CAGAGGAACGUGCUUGAUGGUGACAGUAGAAAAGAGAGGAAAUUAACAGAUUUAAAGUAAAUAAAAGUGAGUGUAUUAGCAAGCUAACGAACCAACACAGAAGACAGGAUAAGGAGGAGCAACCGGGAGUUUGGAAAAAUCCCAUUUUCCACCUCUAUUCGUCUCGCAAGGUCUUUCCACUGCUCCUGCUGACCUCCUCUCAUAUAUACCAAUGUCCAACAACAGGCCAUCAACACCAGAGGGCUUCAACAUGCAAUAUUGAAGAUUUCCAUUAGUGCUGAAUUGUUUAGGGGAACCGUGAAGGAAACAGACCUGAACCAUCAUCAUCACAGAAAGGAAAGCCGAGAGGAGAGGGGGAGAUGGGGGAGACCACAAGGGAGGAGAUAAAGGAAACAAAGAGAAAAUAGAUCAAAAUUGAAUAAAACAGAAUUCUGUAUAACGGUACAUGAGAAUAUAAGCAUGCGUUGCCUCAAGUUCCCUGUCAGGUCUAAAGCGAGACGGCUUCCCGUGAGAGUGUCAGCGAUGGAAAUUCCAGCACAGCAGGGAACUCAAGAUGUUUGACUGUUUGACUGGCACACAAAGAUUCAAACACACAGACAGUCGUGUUUAAUUUACACUCCCUAACAAGAAGCCGAUGUGAGUCAGCAGUUCUCUGCACUGAACGCCAGAAUGUUGCCAGGGAGGGACUGUUCUUAAAUACAACAGCUGCUCAAAUGUGGAACAACAAGAUGAAAAGACGAGUGAACAAUCCAAAAAUUGUGGAAGCGGCCCGUCUCCUGCACAACUCUGAGGGAAACUGCAAGCGCCUUGAUGCUGAGCAAGGGAACAGGAAUGCAUUGAACUGUAUAAAUUGAGAUGUAUUGUUUACCCCAGGCUGUGAGACGUUUGAACUCUGACUAAAAUUCAUCAGCACCGCUCCAUGAAACAUAGCUGUUGGAAUUGAGGCAGAGUGCACUGGCAGCAGAUGAAUUGGCGUUCUGAAUGGUGUCACUAUAGAUCUGAUGUCAAAUGAGGAAGAUUGCAGCUUUGAGGGGGUGUCGCGGUGGAUUGUGCAACCAAAGUUUCGGCAGCCAGGAGCUCACCGACCUCUUUUGUACGCUGCAGACAAGGCUGGAGGCCAAAGUACAAAACACUGCAUCACAGGCAUCUGUACAAUGGAUGAUGUUCUGACAGCCGCCACCACCACAUGACUCAGAGGUGGACAGAAACUUCGUCCCGCAGCCCAGCAUUUAAUGUUUUGUAAAUGGUUUUUCACAUUUGCCUUUUU
Molecule: long non-coding RNA, 1267 nt
Organism: Micropterus salmoides (largemouth bass)
Lineage: Eukaryota; Metazoa; Chordata; Actinopteri; Centrarchiformes; Centrarchidae
Exons: 6
Source: RefSeq, a predicted model, not a curated record